CAGUGCGGGGCCGCGAGCCCUGGCGGGGCCGGCCCGUCCCGCUGUCCCCGGAGCGCCGGGAGCGGACGGUGCGCGCUCGGAGCUGAGGAUGGAUUCGCGAGGGAGGCAGAAGACGUUUGCGGAGCAGCCACGGAGACCUGGGGAAGGCGGGGGUCUCGCAGCAGCAGCUUUACAGGCAUCUUCGUUCGGGAGCACCUCCACACCUGUAAGAUUUCCCUGAUCUCCCUGCUCCUGGCUGGGAUCCCCUUUGGGGGCUGUGGACAGAAGUAGCCCUUCUGCAGUAAAACAGAUGUACUGUCAAAAGAGGCUGCAGUGGUUAAAUCACAGUUUGUACCAGUAUCCCAGACAGUUGUUUGUUUCCCAGGAAAGCUUACUCUACCUACCGCAGGCUUUUGGCAGCUGAAGAAGUUUGUGGAAGCAGAAUAUUUGCUGAUAAAACUCACAGCGGUGGCAAACUGCUGUUGUGAAGGACAAAGGUUUGAGAUCUGAUCUUAUUCUCUCAUCUCCUGCUGAGCUGGGAGCUGUUAAAGUAAGCUUCUGUAUUUAUAUUACAUGACUGGUAUGACUGCACACACUAGAAGGAAAUUAAGACUUCAAAAAGACAUUCCUCAUCAUAGAUGUUCAGGGUUUAUAUGUCUAUUUUUAUAGAAAAGGGUCUAAUUUGCUGCUUGCUUACUUUGCUAAAAAUCAAAGAAGAACUUAGAUGGAGUGUGAGGAGUUAAAUCAUGUUUGGUGAGGAAAAUCAGGCCUGUCCUGUGAAGUGUCCAGUUGUGCUACUGUUCUGAACAGGAAAAUUAAAAGUUGUCUGGAUAUUAAACAUAUGUGUGAAUUCAGCUAUCCUGAGAGACUGUAGUUGCCUGCAUACCUUGAACCCUCCCAAAAAGCAUGUUUUUGAAAUUGAGGAUGGUUGCAGAGUGGCCUGUGUGAACAGCCACGAACACUUGCACACCAGCCCAGUCCACGUGAACCACGGCAGGGGAGACAAAGCCAAACCUGAAAAUCUAUCUCAUCAAGUUACCUAAUUGCCAUCCCUCUGAUGUGCUGUGACAGCCCACCUGUGAUCUGGAGACACAAUCUGGAAAAUUAUUGCGACAUGUAACAAUAAUCUGAGAGAUGAGCUGUGAUUGCAGUGGAUUCCUCAGGACAGAAGCAGGAUUUUUAAGUGGCUUGUUUUUUCCCUAAUGCCUGUGAGCCUUGCUGGUUUCCUGUAUUGCAGGGUCUCGUGGUGGGUUUUUGGAGUGUCUGGGGGCACACUGUGUUUGUGUUUAGUGUUUUGACUGACUUGUGAUUUGAUCGCCCUAACUUACUAAAUCCCUCUACAUUAUGAAUUCCCAUUGUGAAAGGUAUGGAAAAUCAUACUUAAUUGCUUCUAAGCAGGGCAGAUAAAAAUAUGAUAAAAAGAUGAUUCAGUGAUAUGAAGGUGAAAUAUAAAAAAAUAUGUGAAAUGCAGAUUGAUGCUAUUCCCAGCGUGCAUGCUACUGUUUUUUGGUUGUUUUUUUUCCCUAUUUAAGUUUACUUAUAAGAUGAAACUGUACCUGAGAAAAGGAGUAGCUUCAUACUGCCAUUUAAGCUGUAAGUCUAGUGUCUGAUUUUAGUGGAAGGUGCAGUCUUCUGUCUUGAUUUCCAGAGUGCUUCCAUGGUAUAUCUGAAUUGCUGAACCUGAAGUUAACUUACCCAGAGCUCUUGGCCACCAUGGCCAGGCUAUUUGGUGCCUCAGCCUGAGCCAGUCUGAUUAGAUUGAGUUACCUUCUCCAUACAUGGCACUCUGCAGUAGGCAGGCACAGACUUCAGACACAGCCAGAUUGCCCCAGUUCCACUCAUAUCCACACACCCACGGGCUGGCUGUACCUCUGUAGAUGGAGAUCUGCAUUUCUGUGAUGUGUAUGCUGUCUGAACCUCACCCUCAGCAUUUCUGAGCAAAACCAGAUGCUUUGCAAAGCAAAAGGCACCACGAGGCCGCCAAAAGGUGUAUUUGUUUGUAUUCAGAGUAAGGUGUCUGAAUGGGGCUUGUUCUGGGUUCCCUUGGUACAGCUCCCUGCAGGAUGAACCCCAGGUCAGAGCAGGGAUACACAGCUCUGCUGCUUGUAAACAUGACACGUGCACCCAGUGACACAGAGUAGAAGGAAAUAGUCAUUGUGCAAUCUGCAGGCAGCAUAAUCACUGUGAUCACAGUAACAUGAUGACUUGUUUAAUUUAUUUUAAGGCUGACACGCUUGCCUUGUUUUGCUGUGUGAGCCAAUGAUGUUUUAUCAUCUCAUGUGAACCCUGGGAGAACCAGGCAGUGAUCUUUUUUUAAAUCCAAGUGUGUCAAAUGCAUAACUCUGAAUAUAACACUGAGCUGCUUUACCCUGACUUGAGCUCUCGAGCAGACAGACGAGCAAGUCUCAUGUUCAGUCAAUGUAGAAUCUAUUUAGUGUAAUCUCCUUGCUGAGAACUUCCACUGAGAGCACUUUCUGAGGAAGAGGCUCAAAGCUUUAUGAAGUGUAACAAUAACCUGGGACAGCUUGGCCUGGAAAUGUCUUUCUAACCCCCACAUCUUUUUGUCAGCUACUUUAUGCACUGGAAAGUGAAACCACAAAUUCAUCUUACACUGAUGGAACAGUCAUAAAGUGGUUAUGACUGUGGCCCUUUGCUUGCAAAUUGACCACAUGUUUAACCAAGAGGACAAAGUCUCAUGAACUGUCCUGCACAAGGAGAUUCAGUGCCACUCUAAAGGCAUGAAGUUCCUUGGCAUCCACAGGCACAGACCCAAUGGUCUGCUCGGUUGUGCUGUUCAGCUGGUACAGAUGGAAUGUUUGUAUCAGCCCAUAAUGGUUUUUUUCUGCUCUGAAAGAAGCACAGAAGAAGUAAACAGUGUGAGUCCUCCGGUAGGUGUCUGAGCAAUUUAAGCUGCAAAGUGACACCACCAAUAUCAGAAGAUCAUUAAUAGGUUGCAAGGAAGGGUGUUGACCCUCUAUUAAGUUUUUCAUCCUUCCUGCAUUACACAAGAGGUUAACAAGUUACUACACCCAGUCCAAGGCACUAUUAGGAGCCAUGUUCCACAUGACAGUGUCUCUGGGAGGAAGAAGGACAGAUUAAUGUGACGAAGGAAGGAAAGUCAGGUCAGUGAGCCUAAGAAAGUCUGAACAUUUCUCAUGUACUCAACCAUACCCUGGCAAGCCUGAAUAAAUGGAAACUUUCCAGGACACCUAAGACAACAGAAUGCAGGACUUCUGGGUUUUGUUUUUUAACUCAUUAGUACUGAGAUACAUAUACUAAAAUCUAGGCAUUGCAAGUAAUAUGGAUUAAGAAAUGAAGGGCAGUAAGACAUACCUAGUUGAUUUUUAUGAGAUACAGACAUGUUUUAGUUCAGAACUUCUGUAAAACAAGGUAUGAUCUUUGCAGCCAGAAUGGUCUGAAAUUUCCCAAGCUGUAAUCCAGACAGUGCCAUCACAGCUUCAAGAUUAAAACCUACAUCUUUGAACUGUAAGCAGCUUUCUCUUCUCACUACAAAGAAUUAUGGGUGAUUCCAAGAAUUUAGGAGACUGAUACACACUUAUUUCCCUAUCCUAGUGAUUUUCUGUAUGUGCCAUCUUUAGUUGUUCUACUUAAUAAAAAUAAGCCAUCCCGAUUCAGAGCACAUAUUUUGGUAUUAAUAUAUGAAACAGUAAUUUAAGUUGCAUGUAUGGGAGGUAGGCAGACUGCAGGAGUGAUGCAGACAUAAAAAGUAGGGUAGUAAGAUGACUCCUGUCAUACAUGUCACAGGCAUUUAGCCUCUUCCAGUCCUCACACUGUCCAGCAAACUGGUUUUGGGGAUCAUGUUCACACAACCCAGCCAGUAUUACUGUUCUCAUACCUAAGCAGCAAAUUGUAACCUCCACGCCCACGCCUGGCUAUCAGCAUCAAUACAGUGGGGCAGGCUAAAGGAAAACAUGCAUUAACCACGUCUGUAUAUAACAGUUCUGGUUUUAAAUUGGUUCAUUCUAGCUCAUAUUUUAUCUCAUUUCACAACUCUGUAGAGCGGGAGCUGUGUCUUAUGUUUCUGGGAUGCUGAACAGGACACCGAGCAGGCCUGGGGUCUUCGGUUGGAGUUACCACACCAGUACUGAUCACUGAGUGUUCCUGUGUGCCACUGCAGGACAGGACAGCCCAGAAGAAGAUACCACUUCCCUUUUCAGAGAGGCAAAGGAGGGAUGCAGCUCUCAGCAGCAGACUUUUUCACCAAAAACUCUUUGGAGCUUUUCUGACUCCAAUACUUAACAACUCCUGGUUUCCCUACUUUUUUAAGUGAGUAGGUCGGCUGCCAUUCACAGAGACCAAUUACCAUUUUAAGAGCAGCUUUUUGGCACCAGAAAUAUUUAUAUGGAAAACAGCCUGUCAUGGUUUAACCCAAGCCAGCAGCUGAGUACCAUGCAGCUGCUCACACACAUCCAGUUGGAUGGGGAAAGAAGGAAAACGAGUUCUGCCCCUUUAUAGCUUGAUGGCAUUAGGGUACACUGUGCACAGGUAUCUCCUAGAGCCUUACACUCCUGUGGGUCUGAUGUGCCAGGACAUCUGAUCCACACAGUCCUGUAAACUCAGCUGUCCCUCCCCUCCACCUGUCAGGAGGCAGGGCCCCUCCAGUACUGGUUUUAGGAUUCUCCACUUCUUGUAAAAACAGAUCAGAAUUUUUUUCCAUAGGAUCAGAGGAGUAAGAUUAGCCCUUCCUCUCUGUCUUGGAACUGCCCACUGGACAGUGGAGCAGCAACUUUCCUGGAAGAACCUCCAUUUGUGAUUGUUUUUCUCUGUUUCACAAUUAGCAAUUUUAUCAUAUCAUAAGCCAGUGUUACAAAGUACAACAGAAUCAACCUUAGCUCAGCCCCCAGAGGUGAUAAACAGCACAAAGGGAACACACACACCAAGUGAGGCACUGCAUGAUGCAAACCUGAGAACAAGAGCAACACCUCUUGAGAACAAACAAAUCAACAUUGUGUCCAAUGACUAUUAAAUUAAUAUAAUGAAUGCUUGUAAUAAAUUUGUUUUACACGCUCUGGUCA
Molecule: long non-coding RNA, 5015 nt
Organism: Pipra filicauda (Wire-tailed manakin)
Lineage: Eukaryota; Metazoa; Chordata; Aves; Passeriformes; Pipridae
Exons: 2
Source: RefSeq, a predicted model, not a curated record